CUAACGGUCGCGGUUUCACAAUGGUUUCAGAAGCAGGAACGAAUAUGUAAGGCGUUUGUUUUCCCCCGGACUGUAGACGCACCAUGUUACAACGCAUAACCUAACGUGGGUUAGUUUAGGGAGGUGUUGUUACGCAGUACAAAACUGUUUUAAUCGCGGACUCCUGCUGAAAGAAAUUAAAUGGCUGAGGGAACAGGAUGCAUCCAGACACAAGAUCCACGGCGCAGAUAAGCAGGAGAUCGGAGACAUUGAACGAUGAGAAGGACCCCGGACCCGUGCAGUUCACCUCCAGUAAAGCAAGCCACCGCUCCUGGUCAGUGGACCAGUCCCUCGGCAGCCAGUUUCAAAAGCCUUGGUGGAAAGUUCUUCAAAUCAGUCUCAUUGGACUUCUUGCAGUCGGAGGUAGACAGAGAGCUGGAGAGAGGUCUGUACCAACGGUUCGAAUCGCAGCAGCCCGCACAAACUGAAACCAGCAAGCCUGAAGAGAACCACAAGCGGAGCUAGCAUCUUUCAAAGCAGCGGUGUGCAAUCUCCUGCCGUCCACCUGCCCGGGUUUAUUAUGUUCUGGAUCAAUUUGUAUAUUAGUAUGGGUGUCAGUUGGCAUCAAAGCUUGUGCAAAGUGAUUUGCAACAGGGUGUUGCUGUAAUUUGCAUGCUGAAAUUAAAUCAAUUUGUGGUAGUGUUUUAAUUUAAA
This is a long non-coding RNA of Polyodon spathula (Mississippi paddlefish), 693 nucleotides long. RefSeq lists it as uncharacterized. The transcript is spliced from 2 exons. The record is from RefSeq and is a predicted model, not a curated record. NCBI's taxonomy places the organism in Eukaryota, Metazoa, Chordata, Actinopteri, Acipenseriformes, Polyodontidae.